Molecule: long non-coding RNA, 1114 nt
Organism: Pseudophryne corroboree (corroboree frog)
Lineage: Eukaryota; Metazoa; Chordata; Amphibia; Anura; Myobatrachidae
Exons: 2
Source: RefSeq, a predicted model, not a curated record
UCUCUGCCUAUCCCCGGCACCAGAAUCUGCUUGGAGCUGGGGGCAGAGUUGGGGGUGGGGCCGCACCUCAUGCAGUUUCACUGCAUUGAAAAAAGUGCCAGUGGAGGCAGCUCUGACAUGCGUGCCUUGACAUGGGCUCAAGGCACGCCCCCACAAUGAUGUAGAAUAUGUAUGGCCACCUGCUGUCAGUGUAACUGCUGAGUGGAGUGCAGUACUUCUGGGUGCCACUAGAUGCCCCCAUCUCCAUUUGUGCCACAGUCAACCCUGGGCCUGCUGAUGACAGUCGCUGAGCAGAGGGAUGGCAUGCAGCUCAGAGAGGCAGGACCUGACUCAGGGAAAUUCCAGAGAUCCCACUAAGAAGGGUGUUUUUCUUGAAGAUGGUUUGUUUGUAGACUCCCAUCAUCUGUUCUACAGCAUAAUUGGAGCAUCAUAAGUUUCCUACCAAGCACAUCAUCCCUGAGCCAUGGCAGUGAUUAGUAUUGCGCAAUGCGUGCUACUAAGUGCAAGUAUGUGUAUACACAGUAUGGUACAUCUGAAUGACACUAACAAGGCUUAUAUACCCUAUGAACAAGAAAUCAUUGAAUUCGUCUGUGGACUGCCAAUCCAGCAUGGUCUUCUCAAGGACGAGGAGCGUCACCACACCAGGCCGCCAAGGAGUGCUGGGACGCGCUGAUAAACAACUCACACCAUGGCGUCAGCUGAGAUGAUGGCAUCACAUUCGACCCACAGAAGACAGGAGCUGCCUUUUUCUGUUACCAAACUGGAAAAGUCCACUGAAUUUUUUUUUUUUUUUUAAAGGCCUUGUCAUAAAAAAGAUCAGUAGCCAGUUAUAAAGGAUUUAGAAAGUGACCCAAAUCUGUGCCUAUAUCACAGGUUUCUCCAAGUUAAAAAAAACAAAAAAACUAUCAUAAGGAAUAUUACUGUCACACUGUGGAACAUUAUUGUGUGACUUACCUCUGCCAACUGUUCUACAGGUCAGGAUUCAUGUUGACCCUGUCUGAGAACCUGAUGCUCUGACAUCACGAUCUGGGAGUUUGUCAGCUGACUGCAUUCCUCCAGUUGGAUUGCUCCUCCAUUAGGUGAUCCUAUCAGCCAAUAAAAGACUUGCAGUUUC